This 253-nucleotide ribosomal RNA is filed under the name uncultured bacterium. RNAcentral's name for it is "partial 16S ribosomal RNA". It matches the Rfam family "Bacterial small subunit ribosomal RNA", at positions 524 to 776 of the family's 1533-position model. The record is from RNAcentral.
UACAGAGGUCUCAAGCGUUGUUCGGAUUCAUUGGGCAUAAAGGGUGCGUAGGUGGCGCCGUAAGUCAGGUGUGAAAUCUCGGGGCUCAACCCCGAAACUGCACUUGAUACUGCGGUGCUCGAGUACUGGAGAGGAGAUUGGAAUUUACGGUGUAGCAGUGAAAUGCGUAGAUAUCGUAAGGAAGACCAGUGGCGAAGGCGAAUCUCUGGACAGUUACUGACACUGAGGCACGAAGGCCAGGGGAGCAAACGGG